This 265-nucleotide long non-coding RNA is filed under the name Mytilus galloprovincialis (Mediterranean mussel). Lineage: Eukaryota; Metazoa; Mollusca; Bivalvia; Mytilida; Mytilidae. The record is from RNAcentral.
GGAAAAAAAAUUUUUGAGGAAAAAAAAAUUUGAAGGAAAAAAAAAAUUCAGUUUGGACUUGUAAUAUUUUUCAAAAUUUGAAUAUCGAAAAAGGAAAUGGAAACCGAAUAAGGAAAUGAAAAUCGAAAAAGGAAAUAGAAACCGAAUAAGGAAAUAGAAACCGAAAAAGGAAAUGAAUAUUGAAAAAGGAAAAAGAAACCGAAUAAGGAAAAAGAAACCAAAUAAGGAAAUGGAAAUUGAAUAAGGAAAUGAAAAUCCAAUAAGG